CAUCCGGCGGGAGGCGUCGACGCGCGGUCGGUCAGCCACGGUCGCCCCCUGACCGCGCCGAGCCACUGGCUAGCCCGGCCCGCCCGGCA
RNAcentral lists this non-coding RNA (89 nucleotides) under Chloroflexota bacterium. Its description in RNAcentral is "Chloroflexi bacterium c-di-GMP sequence". It matches the Rfam family "c-di-GMP-II-GCG riboswitch aptamer". The record is from RNAcentral. Lineage: Bacteria; Bacillati; Chloroflexota.